RNAcentral lists this ribosomal RNA (253 nucleotides) under uncultured bacterium. RNAcentral describes it as "partial 16S ribosomal RNA". It matches the Rfam family "Bacterial small subunit ribosomal RNA", at positions 524 to 776 of the family's 1533-position model. The record is from RNAcentral.
UACGGGGGGAGCAAGCGUUGUUCGGAUUUACUGGGCGUAAAGGGCGCGUAGGCGGCGUGACAAGUCACUUGUGAAAUCUCCGGGCUUAACUCGGAGCGGUCAAGUGAUACUGUCGUGCUAGAGUGCGGAAGGGGCUACUGGAAUCCUCGGUGUAGCGGUGAAAUGCGUAGAUAUCGAGAGGAACACCUGCGGCGAAGGCGGGUAGCUGGGCCGACACUGACGCUGAUGCGCGAAAGCCAGGGGAGCGAACGGG